CUUUAACUGAAGUUCCCUUUAACUGAAGUUCCCUUUAACUGAAGUUCCCUUUAACUGAAGUUCCCUUUAACUGAAGUCAUCUUUAACUGAAGUUCCCUUUAACUGAAGUUCCCUUUAACUGAAGUUCCCUUUAACUGAAGUUCCCUUUAACUGAAGUUCCCUUUAAC
Oncorhynchus keta (chum salmon) is the source of this 167-nucleotide long non-coding RNA. RefSeq lists it as uncharacterized. NCBI's taxonomy places the organism in Eukaryota, Metazoa, Chordata, Actinopteri, Salmoniformes, Salmonidae. The transcript has 3 exons. The record is from RefSeq and is a predicted model, not a curated record.